UUUUCUUUUUCUUUUUUUUUGUUUAAUCUGUGGGCGUUGUUGUUAUAUAGAAUGGUGUCUGCAUACGUUGCAUGUGCAUGAGGUAUGACAGGAAUGUAACCUUUGUCGCAUUAGUCCCCUAAUCCUUUCCAUUCUCCUUGGAGGUUUCUGUGUCUUAUAGCGUGGGAAGCUUGCAAAUUUUGAUUUGCACAAUGUCAUCAUCCAUGAUGCUGUAGGGCGAAUAAGCAAUCUGAUGGAUCACAGUUCUGAAGAAGAAUCUGACAUUAGUGAAUCAGAGAUCAAUGACUACAAGGACAAGCCAUAUGAAGAUUUGAAGACUGGAAAAUACAAAGUAAAGGUAAAUGGCACCUUAAGAUGUCCAUUCUGUGCUGGGAAAAAGAAGCAGGAUUACAAGUACAAGGAUUUGCUUCAACAUGCAUCAGGAGUGGCUAAGGGUUCUGCCAACAGGAGUGGAAAACAAAAGGCAAACCAUCUUGCCCUAGCAAUGUAUUUGGAAAAUGACCUAGUAAAUGAAGCAGAUCAAAUUCAACGUCCAGUUUUGCCCCAACCUGUCAAUCAAACACCAGAGCAACUAGAUGUCUUUGUAUGGCCUUGGAUGGGAAUAAUAGUUAACAUUGUGACUAAUGAUAAUGCCUUAUGUGAGAGUGGAUACUGGUUGAAAAAGUUUGCUCAGUAUAAACCUUUGGAAGUUUAUACUUUCUGGAGUGAACAAGAGCAAACUGGACAGGCUGUGGUGAAAUUUAACAAUGAUUGGAAUGGCUUUGUUAAUGCAACUCAAUUUGAAAAAUCAUUUGAAACUUUGCAUCAUGGUAAAAAGGAUUGGAAAGCACAAAAGACACAUCCUGGGUCAAGUAUAUAUGGGUGGUGUGCUCGUGCUGAUGAUCAUGAUUCUGAGGGGCCAAUAGGAGAGUAUCUUCGUAGGGAAGGGAAGUUGAGAACAAUUUCUGGCAUUGUCCAAGAAGCAACUGAAAGCAGAAAUACUGUUGUGGCACACCUAGCGAAUAAAAUUGAUCAGACAAAUGAAAAUUUGGGUGAACUCGAAUACAAAUACAAUGAAAAGACCAUGUCCUUGAGUCGGAUGCUUGAAGAGAAAGACAAACUGCACUAUGCUUUCCUUGAAGAAAGAAGGAAGAUGCAGCGGCUUCAACGUGAUAAUCUUCACAGAAUCAUGGAAGAGGCAGAAAAUCUGAAUGAUGAACUAGAGGCUAAGAAGAGGAAACUUGAUUGCUGGAGCAAAGAAUUGAACAAACGUGAAGCACUAACUGAGCGUGAGAGACAAAAACUUGAUGAAGAGAAGAAAAUGAAUGAUGUGAGAAACAAUUCACUUCAUUUGGCAUCUAUGGAGCAGAAGAAGGCUGAUGAGAAUGUCUUAAGGCUGGUUGAAGAGCAAAAGAGGGAGAAAGAAGAGGCUCUAAAUAAGAUACUUCUGUUGGAAAAACAGUUAGAUGCCAAACAAAAGUUGGAACUUGAAAUUGAAGAGCUAAAAGGGAAACUUCAGGUGAUGAAGCAUCUUGGUGAUCAAGAUGAUACAGCCGUUCAAAAGAAGAUGAAGGAGAUGAAUGAUGAGCUGGAGCAGAAAGUAGAGGAUUUGGCUGAUGUUGAAUCUCUGAAUCAAACUCUUAUUGUAAAAGAGCGCCAGAGCAAUGAUGAGCUUCAAGAGGCACGUAAAGAAUUAAUUCAGGGUUUGAAAGAUACAUUGUCCUCAGUUGUUAGGACUAAUAUUGGAAUAAAAAGAAUGGGAGAAAUUGAUGAAAAGGCAUUCCUAAAUACAUGCGAGCAAAGAUUUCCAAAAGAGGAAGCUCAGGUUCAGGCCACUACUUUAUGCAGCUUGUGGCAGGAGAAUUUGAAGAAUCCAGACUGGCAUCCCUUUAAAAUCAUCAAUCAUGUUGAAGGGAAUCAUCAGGAAAUAGUAGAUGAAGAAGAUGAGAAGCUGCAAAAUCUCAAGCAGGAGUGGGGGGAUGAGAUAUACAGGGCAGUUGUUACUGCUUUGAUAGAGUUAAAUGAGUAUAAUCCGAGUGGGAGAUACGUGAUUCCUGAGCUUUGGAACUUUAAAGAAGGAAGGAAAGCCACGUUGAAGGAGGUGAUUGGUUAUAUUGUGAAGAAUAUCAAGACCCUUAAGCGUAAGAGAUGAAGAGACCUUGAUGCUAAGGUGUCUCUGGAAGAAAUGGAAGGUCUUCAACAAGAGGUUUGCUGAAAGUGCAACCAAUGAAACCUGAAGCUGGGACCAUGAUUCGUCAGAGUUAAUUUUAUGUCAAGUAGCUCCGUCAAGGUGUAUCUUGAAUUGUGAACUUAAUUUCUAGUACAAAAUCCUCUUUAAACUCCUGAAUCUCUUUCAAAUUGCGAAGUUCCCUGGUUCGUUACUACUAGUGUUUUUUUUUAUGUAAGUGGAAUUGUUUUUACAUUAUUGGAAGAUCAACUAUCAUUUCGGUUUGGACCCGCAAAUAAAUUGGACCGGUUGAUAGUUCCAUGGCUUCAAACCGACCUGAAAUCAGGACCGUCCUCCCAUUGAACUUGAAUCGGACUCUAGCUCAUGAAAUGAUAAAUAUUCAAAAGUUGGGGUUUUGCUCCCAGUCUACGCCCUCCGAUGUAUGAGGAAAGGCCCUCAAAAUGGAUGUUGGGAUGUUUUGGGCUCGCUUACUCAUGGCUUAGCCGAAAGUUGUUCAAGGCAUGAGAGGGCCAUUGAGGGGGAGACAAGGAUAAUGGGGACAAUGAUAAUUUACCGGCUUAACGGUCCUUUUCUAAUUGAUUACAAGUACGGACAAAUUCUUAUUUAUUUGAUGGAGAUUUUUUUCCAAUUCUCUCCAUUUGUAAUUGAUUGAAAAGGAAUC
Molecule: unclassified non-coding RNA, 2828 nt
Filed under: Hevea brasiliensis (rubber tree)
Lineage: Eukaryota; Viridiplantae; Streptophyta; Magnoliopsida; Malpighiales; Euphorbiaceae
Source: RNAcentral